AAAGAAAAUAACAAUGAUUCCCCUAGUAACUGCGAGUGAAGAGGGACAAGCUCAAAUUUUAAAUCUGUUCGGUUGGUACCUGACAGAGUUGUAAUUUAAAGAGACGUUUUCUGUGUCUUGAGUUAAUCAAAAUCCUUUGGAAUGAGGUAUCAUGGAGGGUGACAAUCCCGUUCAUGGUUAAUUCUAAGAUGCUUUAUGAUACGUCCUCGAAGAGUCGAGUUGUUUGGGAUUGCAGCUCAAAAUGGGAGGUAAAUUUCUCCUAAGGCUAAAUAUUGGCGAGAGACCGAUAGCGAACAAGUACCGUGAGGGAAAGAUGAAAAGAACUUUGAAAAGAGAGUUAAACAGUACGUGAAAUUGUUGAAAGGGAAACGAUUGAAGUCAGUCGUACCAGCGGGAAAUCAACCUUUCGAGUGGGGGUUUUGGAGUUUUGAAGUGUGUCAAAACCUUUGAGAUUUCAAAAUUUUCGCUCCUUUGGUGUACUUUCUCGUGGGUAGGUUAACAUCGAUUUCGAUCAUCAUAAAAGGAUUGGAGGAAUGUAGCUUCGAUCUUGUAUUGAAGUGUUAUAGCCUUUGGUAAAUGUGAUGAUUGGGAUCGAGGAUUGCAACGAAUACCCUUUUGGGCUAUCCGCCUGAUCUCUGAUACGUGGCCUUGGCAUCGAAAGCUUGCUUAUGGUAUCAAGGUAUUACGGUCAAAAGGUUAGAACGGAUUACAUUCGUUAAGGAUGUUG
This 727-nucleotide ribosomal RNA is filed under the name uncultured Glomus. RNAcentral's name for it is "eukaryotic LSU rRNA". It matches the Rfam family "Eukaryotic large subunit ribosomal RNA", at positions 58 to 628 of the family's 3401-position model. Lineage: Eukaryota; Fungi; Glomeromycota; Glomeromycetes; Glomerales; Glomeraceae. The record is from RNAcentral.